CAUUUAUUAGAACAAAACCAAUUGGCUUCGGCCAUCAAUUGGUGAAUCUGAAUAACUACGCUGAUCGCAUGGUCUCGCACCGGCGACAUAUCCUUCAAGUGUCUGCCUUAUCAACUGUCGAUGGUAGUUUAUAUGACUACCAUGGUUGUAACGGGUAACGGAGAAUAAGGGUUCGACUCCGGAGAGGGAGCCUGAGAAACGGCUACCACAUCCAAGGAAGGCAGCAGGCGCGCAAAUUACCCACUCUCAGAACGAGGAGGUAGUGACGAAAAAUAACGAGACAGUUCUCUACGAGGUCUGUCAUCGGAAUGGGUACAAUUUAAACCCUUUAACGAGGAUCUAUUGGAGGGCAAGUCUGGUGCCAGCAGCCGCGGUAAUUCCAGCUCCAAUAGCGUAUAUUAAAGUUGUUGCGGUUAAAAAGCUCGUAGUUGGAUCUGCGCUCACAGACACUGGUUUCCUUUCUUGGAAUACUGGCUGUCUUGAGCUACCUUGCUGGUUGUCUCUUGGUGCUCUUUACUGAGUGCCUUGAGUGGCUAGCACGUUUACUUUGAAAAAAUUAGAGUGCUUAACGCAGGC
This 576-nucleotide ribosomal RNA is filed under the name uncultured eukaryote. RNAcentral's name for it is "SSU rRNA". It matches the Rfam family "Eukaryotic small subunit ribosomal RNA", at positions 203 to 785 of the family's 1831-position model. The record is from RNAcentral.